RNAcentral lists this ribosomal RNA (446 nucleotides) under uncultured bacterium. RNAcentral's name for it is "bacterial SSU rRNA". It matches the Rfam family "Bacterial small subunit ribosomal RNA", at positions 330 to 793 of the family's 1533-position model. The record is from RNAcentral.
UCCAGACUCCUACGGGAGGCAGCAGUGGGGAAUAUUGCACAGUGGGGGAAACCCUGAUGCAGCAACGCCGCGUGAGUGAAGAAGUCAUUCGUGAUGUAAAGCUCUCUCAGCAGGGAAGAAAAUGACGGUACCUGUUUAGAAAGCUCCGGCUAACUACGUGCCAGCAGCCGCGGUAAUACGUAGGGAGCAAGCGUUGUCCGGAAUUACUGGGCGUAAAGGGCGCGUAGGUGGGCGCUUAAGUCAGGUGUGAAAACUCCGGGCUCAACCUGGAGACUGCACUUGAAACUGGGUGUCUUGAGGGCAGGAGAGGAAAGUGGAAUUCCUAGUGUAGCGGUGAAAUGCGUAGAUAUUAGGAGGAACACCAGUGGCGAAGGCGGAUGACUGGACGGCAACUGACGGUGAGGCGCGAAAGCGUGGGGAGCAAACAGGAUUAGAUACCCGCGUAU